This 391-nucleotide transfer-messenger RNA is filed under the name Candidatus Babeliae. RNAcentral's name for it is "JACPFN01 sp017992075 Standard tmRNA". It matches the Rfam family "transfer-messenger RNA". From Rfam's summary of the family: Bacterial tmRNA, also known as 10Sa RNA or SsrA, is named for its dual tRNA and mRNA-like properties. Its role is to liberate the mRNA from a stalled ribosome. The record is from RNAcentral. RNAcentral also lists the same sequence under 1 other name.
GGGGGCGUACCGGCUUCGACGUAUUAAUGAUAGUCAAGAAUGCAUGUCGAGCUUUUGUUGAAUGCUCGUUAACUAAUCAACUAAAAACAAAUGCAGAAUCUAUGAAAACUGCAGGGGCUACUUUCGUUGCAGCAUUCUUCGGAAUGAUUGCAAUGUUUGCAGCUUCCUUCAGACGCCGUGAAGACGAAUAUUCUUCACUGUCUGUCGCUUAAUAAAAAUCAUAUUCCUUUUGUGCAAUCUUUCUUUAUUUCAUAACACAAAAGUAUAAGAAAUAGAUGAGCUUGCGAUAUUUGUUUCCUAAGUAACAAGCUUGUAUAAAUGGAAACUAAACAUGUAGUGCUUUUGAUUUGAUUUUCUGCGGACAUGGGUUCGAUUCCCAUCGCCUCCACCA